RNAcentral lists this transfer RNA (62 nucleotides) under Fukomys damarensis (Damara mole-rat). It matches the Rfam family "tRNA", at positions 6 to 65 of the family's 71-position model. From Rfam's summary of the family: Transfer RNA (tRNA) molecules are approximately 80 nucleotides in length. Their secondary structure includes four short double-helical elements and three loops (D, anti-codon, and T loops). The record is from Rfam by way of RNAcentral. Lineage: Eukaryota; Metazoa; Chordata; Mammalia; Rodentia; Bathyergidae.
UUUAGCUCAAUGGUUUUGGCGCCUGUCUCAUAAACACAAGGACCCAGGUUCAAUCCCUGGAA